Molecule: ribosomal RNA, 651 nt
Filed under: Alpova olivaceotinctus
Lineage: Eukaryota; Fungi; Basidiomycota; Agaricomycetes; Boletales; Melanogastraceae
Description: partial large subunit ribosomal RNA
Rfam family: Eukaryotic large subunit ribosomal RNA
Source: RNAcentral
AAGAAACUAACAAGGAUUCCCCUAGUAACUGCGAGUGAACCGGGAAAAGCUCAAAUUUUGAAUCUGACGGUCUUUAUGGCCGUCCGAGUUGUAAUCUAGAGAAGUGUCUUCCGCGCUGGACCGUGUAUAAGUUUCCUGGAAAGGAACGUCGUAGAGGGUGAAAAUCCCGUCUUUGGCACGGACUCCCAGGGCUAUGUGAUGCACUCUCGACGAGUCGAGUUGUUUGGGAAUGCAGCUCAAAUAGGGUGGUAAAUUCCAUCUAAAGCUAAAUACAGGCGAGAGACCGAUAGCGAACAAGUACCGUGAGGGAAAGAUGAAAAGAACUUUGGAAAGAGAGUUAAACAGUACGUGAAAUUGCUGAAAGGGAAACGCUUGAUGUCAGUCGCGUUGGCCAGGGAUCAGCUUUGCUUCAUCGCGAGGCGUACUUCCUGGUCGACGGGUCAGCAUCAGUUUUGACUGUCGGAAAAGGGCCUGAGGAAUGUGGCACUCUUUCGGGGGUGUGUUAUAGCCUUGGGUCUUGAAUACGAUGGUUGGGACUGAGGAACUCAGUACGGAGCCAAUUUAUUUUGGUUUUUCGGGGCUUAGGCUCACGUUCGCGUGCUUAGGAUGCUGGCAUAAUGUCAUUAAGCGACCCGUCUUGAAACACGGACC